Molecule: ribosomal RNA, 737 nt
Filed under: uncultured Planctomycetota bacterium
Lineage: Bacteria; Pseudomonadati; Planctomycetota
Description: bacterial SSU rRNA
Rfam family: Bacterial small subunit ribosomal RNA
Source: RNAcentral
GCGGCGAAAGGGUGAGUAACACGUAACCAACGUACCCCUCAGAUCGGGAUAACCACUGGAAACGGUGGAUAAUACUGAAUGGUCCUAGGAAGGACAUCCUUCCGAAGGUAAACGGCGGCUUCGGCUGCUGUUGAGGGAGCGGGUUGCGUCCUAUCAGCUUGUUGGUGAGGUAACGGCUCACCAAGGCUAUGACGGGUAGCGGGUCUGAGAGGAUGAUCCGCCACACUGGGACUGAGACACUGCCCAGACUCCUACGGGAGGCUGCAGUCGAGAAUCUUCCACAAUGGGCGAAAGCCUGAUGGAGCGACGCUGCGUGUAGGAUGAAGGCCUUAGGGUUGUAAACUACUGUCACGCUAUAGGAACCCGUGUAGGUUAAUAGCCUGCGCGCUGACCAAAGCGAGAGGAAGUGCCGGCUAACUCCGUGCCAGCAGCCGCGGUAAGACGGAGGGCGCAAGCGUUGUUCGGAAUCACUGGGCAUAAAGGGCGCGUAGGCGGCCAGUUCAGUCGGAUGUGAAAUCCCCCGGCCCAACCGGGGAACUGCAUUCGAUACUGACUGGCUAGAGGAUGGUAGGAGCCAAUGGAACUCCAGGUGGAACGGUGAAAUGUGUAGAUAUCUGGAGGAACACCGGUGGCGAAAGCGAUUGGCUGGGCCAUUUCUGACGCUGAGGCGCGAAAGCUAGGGGAGCGAACGGGAUUAGAUACCCUGGUAGUCCUAGCCGUAAACGAUGGGUACUGGG